AUUGAAUUUAAUUCAGGAUUAAAUAUUAUAUUGUAUAAUUUAAUUUAUAUUUUAUAUUUUAAUCUAAAAUUAAUAGGGAUAAGCUUAUUAAUUAAUUUAUAGCUUUAAUUUUGUUUAAGAUUUGUAGGAUUAAAAAUUUCCAUCAUUUAUUUUUUUAUAAUUAAUUUUAAUUUAUAUUUUAUUUUAUUUAGGUUUAAAUUUUUAUUAAAAAUAGUUAUUUAAUAAAAUAAAUAACUGUUAUAAUGAUAAAAUUAGUAAAUUAUGUAACUAAUAUAUAGUAAUUCGGCAAAAUUAUCCUUCACCUGUUUAACAAAAACAUGUUCUAAUGUUUAAUUUUAUUAGAUUUAACCUGCUCAAUGAUAUUUAUUAAAUAGCCGCAGUAUUUUGACUGUGCGAAGGUAGCAUAAUCAUUUGUCUUUUAAUUGGGGGCUUGUAUGAAAGGUUGAAUGAGGGGAUAACUUUCUUUAUAUUAAAUAUUGAAUUUAAUAUUUAAGUUAAAAAGCUUAAAUUUUUAAAAGGGACGAGAAGACCCUAUAGAAUUUUAUAUUUUUUAUAAAUUAAUUAUUUUGGUUAAUUUUAAUUUAAUUUAUAAAUAAUAUUUUGUUGGGGUGAUAGUAAGAUUUAUUUAACUCUUAUAAUUUAUUUUAUUGUUGAUUGGCAUAUUUAUGAUCCUAUUUUUGGAUAAUUAGAC
RNAcentral lists this ribosomal RNA (691 nucleotides) under Eysarcoris annamita. RNAcentral describes it as "partial 16S ribosomal RNA". The stretch from base 294 to 456 matches the Rfam family "Archaeal large subunit ribosomal RNA", at positions 1883 to 2090 of the family's 2987-position model. Lineage: Eukaryota; Metazoa; Arthropoda; Insecta; Hemiptera; Pentatomidae. The record is from RNAcentral.